UACGGGGGGGGCAAGCGUUGUUCGGAAUUACUGGGCGUAAAGGGUUCGUAGGUGGCUGGCUAAGUCAGACGUGAAAUCCCUCAGCUUAACUGGGGAACUGCGUCUGAGACUGGUCAGCUUGAGUGCAGGAGAGGAACGCGGAAUUCCAGGUGUAGCGGUGAAAUGCGUAGAUAUCUGGAGGAACACCGGUGGCGAAGGCGGCGUUCUGGACUGUAACUGACACUGAGGAACGAGAGCCAGGGGAGCAAACGGG
RNAcentral lists this ribosomal RNA (253 nucleotides) under uncultured bacterium. RNAcentral describes it as "partial 16S ribosomal RNA". It matches the Rfam family "Bacterial small subunit ribosomal RNA", at positions 524 to 776 of the family's 1533-position model. The record is from RNAcentral.